UGGGGGCAUUGCCGUAGCAAUCUCAGCCAUGAGGUGGGAGAAUGGCUUGAGAGUAUCCGGAUCGAUUCCCAUUCCUGCAAGCUUCUUUUUCAGCUUGGUGUUCCAGUAGUUCUUGACCUCAUUUCCGUGCGACCCGGCAACUGAGCUGCAAUUAUCGACCACCCGUAGCAAAACCCAACUGGGAUUUUAAUUCAUGGGAGGUAAUAAACAACCACUUGGUACUCAUGGAAGAACAGAACGGCGGUCAUGUAGAGGAGUUGAGAACAAGCUUCUGCAGAAGAAUAUGACGCGGAAGAAUGGAUUGAUUGAUUGAUUGAUUUACCGGUAACCAAGGACAGCAUGGAGCCUCAUGAUGGUUUGCUCCUCUGAUUCUGAGAAUUCACCGUGCUUUAAGUCUGGUCGGAGGUAGGUAGUCCAUCGCAGCCUACAGCUUUUUCCACAUCUAUGCCGGUCUACACAUUGAUUAUUGGUAAUUUAGUUGCUUUUUUUUUUUUUUCCUUUGGCUUAGAGAGAGAGAGAGAGAGAGAGAGAGAGAGAGAACCGGCAAUCUUGGGAAUGAGCCGCCAGUUACAGGUUCCGUGCUAGGUGAUGUAAGAGGCGAGCUUAUUGUCUUCUUCAGGUCCAUUGUCCUAUCCUUCUCACAAGAAGGAAUGUGCCCCGUCUUCUGUAUUUUUGUAUCUUAGGAAAUUCUGUUGCUUUGGUACAGAUAGAUGAAGGAGUCGAUAGUGUUGGAUGAAAAAAGCCAAGGAAGAUGAUUUCUCUACUUGCACUCUUUUCAAGGAAAUUUUUCCCUCUUCUUUGUGUGCUUCUUGGAAAGGAAAUCAAGCAGGACAGUUAUCUAGCCAAUUUUCUAUCAGGUAUGUGAAUGUGACGAUAUGGUGUGUGUUUUUAAAUAAAGGGAGGUGUGUCUUCUUAUAUUAAGGGUUUGCCUUGCAUGUGGCUCUGUUCAAUAUAGCCCGAGUUACCAUCGAAGGCCCAUGAUUUAAUUAAAGAAUUCAAUGCCAUGUUGUGUGUGAGAGAAGGGCAGGUAGCUCACCCACAAGAUGUUUGGUUCAAACCUCUCUCUCUCUCUCUCUCUCUGCGUGUGUAUGUAGUUGACUGUAUCGGGUUUCUGCUAGAGCUGGUGUGUUAACAGUUAAGGUCACACAUAAUUGCCUCAUGGAAGAGCUUGUCUUUUACAAAAGUUGAGGCUGUUGCGCGUGGGUCUUUCUGGCACUCAUUCUACCACUCCUAGUUCUAACGCAUUAGACACCUAAUCAUUUUGUAAAUGCAAGAAUUGCUGGUGCUUGCUGCUUCUUAGCAAUUACUUUGACAUGAACAAUUUGGUCCCAGUUGUCUUUUGAUAUCUUAUGUCCAGGACUAUUAUCAGCCCUCUCUUUUAUGAAGUCUCUUGACAUGAGAGUGUAAGAAUCUUGUUGACCGAGAAGAUGAAGUGCAAAAUAUAAUUCUCAGGCUUCCGUUUGUCACUAAUGUAGUUCUUCGUCGAUCUGCAUAUCUAUUUUCUAUAUAUAUAUAUAUAUUUUAAGGACGCAUUCACAAACUAGAAAGGUGACUGAUUGGCCACACCAUGUUUGGUGCAUGCUAUUGAGUAUUGACACAACAGAGGGUGCAUGUAUAUUUUUUACUUUUUAGCUGUUAAAAAUUGGAGAGAAGCUCCUGUCUUACCUAAACUCAAGCAACCACCACCUUCAAGUGAGACUAAUGAUUCUGUACUUGAGAUCUGAAGGAAGAGUUGAGAUUCUAAGAUGCAAGGAUUAUCUGCAUGAAAUUUGUCCAAACUCAGACUCAACUUAUUUUGGACCUGGUUAAUCGCAACCAUUGAUAGUAUUAAAUGCAGGGGUGGGAUUAUAUCUAUUCAUAGGCCACUUAAGGCCUACUUUCUGCUCAUUUUGUGUUUUUUUCAUUCUGUGUCACUCGAAUCCCUGAAUAAGUGUGCAGCAUGAAUAUUUUGUACAUCAGCAAUUGAAGAACUUAGGUGCUCCCUUUUUCACCUUAACAAACAAGAAUUCUUUCAUCUGAAUUACCCUUUUGUGUUUUACCAUAAGGAAGGAAAAUUACAGUUUCUUAUCUUAGUUUGGCUCUGAUAAGUGCCUCAAAUGAGCCAAUGAAGCAUAAAACUGUCGCAAGAAAGCAGACAAUGCUAAAUAUCUUAAGGAUGACCCAUUUUCUUGUCCAAGCACCGAUUUUCUUUUGCACAAGGUACAUCUCCACGGGAAAAUAUAUCGCCAAGGGCCAAAAGUUCAACGCGCCCAACACUCCUAGAACCGAGUUGAAAUAUGGAAAGAUUAAGGCGAUUCCAGUUGUGGAUAUGACAAAUACUGUGCGGAAGCACAGCCUGAAAAGAUUCAUCCGAAUAGCCGGCACCAAGGGAAGCCUGAAUGUGUAGAAUUUGUUCACAAAUCUGCUAUUUGGGUAUGUGCUGCUGGACCAUCUCUCUGCUGCUGCAUAUAUGGGCUGACUGAACAUCUGUUCGAAGAGACUCAGCAUAAAUGAUGUGACCAUGUUUUCAAAGGCUUAAUCAAAUCAAGAAACUCUUACUGCUAUCUCUGUAAAUUUUUUGCGUGAAAAAGUGCGUAUGACUGUUGUGAUUAUUUCGAUUUGAUUCUUCUCCAGUUUUUUCAGGGUUUCGAGACUCUAAAAUUGACAGUUGUCAGAGUGCAUAACCAAUUGAAGAUUGAAAACAAGUUUAAUAUUGAGAUAAAAACUGAAGGCAGGUAUCGUUCAAUUCCUUUUUUCGAGAAGUCGGGUAUUGGUCAUACAU
RNAcentral lists this long non-coding RNA (2761 nucleotides) under Eucalyptus grandis. Its description in RNAcentral is "long non-coding RNA (EGRA_LNC003847)". The record is from RNAcentral. Lineage: Eukaryota; Viridiplantae; Streptophyta; Magnoliopsida; Myrtales; Myrtaceae.